AAUUUCUUUAAGACGUUGUAAGUCCUUUGUCCGAUUAAAGGCGCGGGUAAGAUUAAGUUAUAAAGAAUCGGAGGAUCGCGGCAGGGUUCCAUUCGGUCGAGAUGGCCAGAGAAGAUGGAGAAAUCGUCGUAUAAAUUCCUUUGAUCUCUUCGUAAAUCCCACGGACGUGUUUACGCGGCGUCGGUAAGUGGCCAGAAAAAGGCGAGGGUGAAUUUCCGUUAGCCGAAGAGGGAGUUAACGCGAUUGGCCACGAGCUUCCGUGUAAUUGGGAACAAUUCAUAAAUUUAUUGCGACAGACAACACACAACGGUCUUCGUUGGUCCCCUUUCUCGCUCACCCUCGUGUUCAGUUGCUCGGUGGACGAACCCUCCGUUACUCCGAUACUCGUUCAACGGAGAGGGGUUGAGUCAGAGAGAGAGAGGAGACGAGCAAGCAGACCGAAACUCAGGAAAUGACCCACCCAUUGGCGCAGCAAAACCAUAAUUCUGACCGCCGAAAUCAUAAUUCACCGAGGUCCAUCGGGAAUGUACUCUCGUGUUUCUGUCGGCCCCGGAACUCGCUGGGACCGUCCUCCUAAUUUUGGAUCGAAUUUCAGGACCGGUCACGAGGCUCGAAUUAAAAUCCGAAUCUUGUCGCUUAA
This 640-nucleotide unclassified non-coding RNA is filed under the name Bombus terrestris (buff-tailed bumblebee). RNAcentral describes it as "misc RNA ENSBTSG00005036937.1". Lineage: Eukaryota; Metazoa; Arthropoda; Insecta; Hymenoptera; Apidae. The record is from RNAcentral.